AUAGGCACCAAAAUAUUUUAAGUUGUAAUUUAGAUGUCUUUGGGGGACCUGUGCCUCCUGCAUCUGGGUACCCAUCCUCAAUUCACAUGGUUCCCAUCAUCUGGGAGCUGAUGGUCCAGAUGAUGACUUUGCUCCUUGAAAGGCUGACAGAGGCCACUGUAAGGUUGCCUGUGUCCUGCACAGACCAAGGUCCCAUAGGGAUGCAAGAAUGGAGGAGCCGAAUUGUAGAGAACCUGGGGCAGCCUGGGUAGAGAAGUUCUUUUAUGAAAUGUAGGUUCACAAAAAGGUUGAAUACUUGAUAUCAUCUCAAGUCUUCCCAUUCACUGGGCAACUUGUUUGUUUGAGUUUAUUUUUGUGGAUUGUUUUGUUUCAUUUUGUUUUGCUUUUGAGACAAACUCACUAUUUAGCUGAGAAUGGCUCUGAACUCCUGAUCCUUUUUUUCCUCUUGAGUGAUGGGAUUAUAUACAAAUGCCACCACAAUGAGGUAACUUGUUUUUUAAUAUUCAGACUAACUUGGUUGAGCCUGGUAGGACAGACCCAUGACCCCAGUACUGAGGGUGCAGAGCUGACAAAUGGGAGCUCCAGGCCAGUCUGAGUCUUACACAGCAAGACUGUCUCUAAAACAAAAAUCUUUUUAAAAUGAGUUUGAGAUUAUAAU
This 658-nucleotide long non-coding RNA is filed under the name Rattus norvegicus (Norway rat). Its description in RNAcentral is "long non-coding RNA NONRATT029106". Lineage: Eukaryota; Metazoa; Chordata; Mammalia; Rodentia; Muridae. The record is from RNAcentral.